AAAACCCUUGUGUUCUAGUGGUGAGGCUCCUUUCUCUUCACCAGCAGAUUGCAGGUUCGAACCCAUGCAAUAGCAAUUUUUUGCAAUGAAAAUAAAGGGAGCAAUAGUAAUUUUUUGCAAUGAAAAUAAAGGGAGCGGGCUGGCAGCUAGUCGGCCUCAACUCGUGGCCCCUCGAAGCCACGUGUUCGUUGACUGGCCCCGUUGGU
RNAcentral lists this long non-coding RNA (206 nucleotides) under Sorghum bicolor (sorghum). Its description in RNAcentral is "long non-coding RNA (SBIC_LNC002537)". The record is from RNAcentral. Lineage: Eukaryota; Viridiplantae; Streptophyta; Magnoliopsida; Poales; Poaceae.